RNAcentral lists this ribosomal RNA (405 nucleotides) under uncultured bacterium. RNAcentral's name for it is "partial 16S ribosomal RNA". It matches the Rfam family "Bacterial small subunit ribosomal RNA", at positions 30 to 526 of the family's 1533-position model. The record is from RNAcentral.
AUUGAACGCUCGCGGGAUGCUUUACACAUGCAAGUCGAACGAGUGGCGGACGGGUGAGUAAUAUAUCGGAACGUGCCCAGUAGAGGGGGAUAACUCCUCGAAAGGGUGGCUAAUACCGCAUAGUAUUGGAGCGGCCGAUAUCGGAUUAGCUAGGUGGUGGGGUAAAGGCUCACCAAGGAAAAGAUCCGUAGCUGGUUUGUGCGGACGACCAGCCCCACUGGGACUGAGACACGGCCCAGACUCCUACGGGAGGCAGCAGUGGGGAAUUUUGGACAAGGGGGGAAACCCUGAUCCAGCCAUCCCGCGUGUAUGAGAAGGCCUUCGGGUUGUAAAGUACUUUUGGCAGAGAAGCGGUAUCUGCAGAAUAAGCACCGGCUAACUCCGUGCCAGCAGCCGCGGUAAUUC